RNAcentral lists this ribosomal RNA (180 nucleotides) under uncultured Glomeromycotina. RNAcentral's name for it is "partial small subunit ribosomal RNA". The stretch from base 92 to 180 matches the Rfam family "Eukaryotic small subunit ribosomal RNA", at positions 738 to 829 of the family's 1831-position model. Lineage: Eukaryota; Fungi; Glomeromycota. The record is from RNAcentral.
AACCUGGUUGGGUGGUCUGCCUUCACGGUACGUACUGCUUGGCCGGGUUCUACCUCUUGGUGAGCCGGCAUGCCCUUUACUGGGUGUGUCGGGGAACCAGGACUUUUACCUUGAGAAAAUUAGAGUGUUCAAAGCAGGCAUUUGCUCGAAUACAUUAGCAUGGAAUAAUAGAAUAGGACC